CCUACGGGGGGCACCAGUGGGGAAUAUUGGACAAUGGGCGAAAGCCUGAUCCAGCGAUGCCGCGUGUGUGAAGAAGGUCUUCGGAUUGUAAAGCACUUUCGACGGGGACGAUGAUGACGGUACCCGUAGAAGAAGCCCCGGCUAACUUCGUGCCAGCAGCCGCGGUAAUACGAAGGGGGCUAGCGUUGCUCGGGAUGACUGGGCGUAAAGGGCGCGUAGGCGGUUUAUGCAGACAGAUGUGAAAUCCCCGGGCUUAACCUGGGAACUGCAUUUGAGACGCAUAGACUAGAGGUCGAGAGAGGGUUGUGGAAUUCCCAGUGUAGAGGUGAAAUUCGUAGAUAUUGGGAAGAACACCGGUGGCGAAGGCGGCAACCUGGCUCGAUACUGUCGCUGAGGCGCGAAAGCGUGGGGAGCAAACAGGAUUAGAUACCCCUGUAGUC
This 440-nucleotide ribosomal RNA is filed under the name uncultured bacterium. Its description in RNAcentral is "bacterial SSU rRNA". It matches the Rfam family "Bacterial small subunit ribosomal RNA", at positions 338 to 795 of the family's 1533-position model. The record is from RNAcentral.